Molecule: long non-coding RNA, 686 nt
Organism: Mesocricetus auratus (golden hamster)
Lineage: Eukaryota; Metazoa; Chordata; Mammalia; Rodentia; Cricetidae
Exons: 3
Source: RefSeq, a predicted model, not a curated record
AGAAGAGCCUUCUGAGGAAGUGAAGCCCAGACUGCUGCCUGAAGGAUGGAUGGGAGCCUCUUCAGUAAAGCACUGGGGGCACCAAACGGAGGGCUCAGUCAGAGGGAAGUGCCUGUGUUUUCUUUGGGAGAUUCUUGGAAGCAAUGUGGGUUUAUCAUUUGCAGAAAUGAAACUCCCAAGCUUAAUGUAAUCCACUGAGCAUAAACGGAUGCACAAGUGAAAGACUCUUUCCAGCAUAAACAGAUGCACAAGUGGGAGACACAUGGAGAUGACGACACCCGAUGGGUGAGUGCUCAUCUUUGACUUCUCAUGGCAAAGACAGCCUUUUCACUUGUCUUCUUUUAUGGCUCAGAGUGGCACGUGACAACUGGAGCGCUGGGGCUCAGCUGCAGGAGCUUCCGGGAGUCUGGUGAUGAUGGAACGAAUCGAUUUGAAGAAUCUAUUGUUAUUCAGCAUCAACGAGGGAAAGCCUUCAACAUUCAGUGACCAAAGAAAAAUAGUGUGACAUACAGGAAGUGUGUUUCUGUAGUGAGAGAAAAUAGAGAAUUCAUAAUUAAAUCACUUUAGUCAAUUAAUAAUUUAAGAGACAAGUUUAACACAUCCUUUGCCUUUGAUGUCGACUAGAGUUUAACGUAUUAAUUGCCCCAAUCAGUUGUGAAAUAAUGCAAAUUUAAUUCUGAAACUGC